CCUACGGGAGGCAGCAGUAAGGAAUAUUGGUCAAUGGACGCAAGUCUGAACCAGCCAUGCCGCGUGAAGGAUUAAGGUCCUCUGGAUUGUAAACUUCUUUUAUCUGGGACGAAAAAAGGCGAUUCUUCGUCACUUGACGGUACCAGAUGAAUAAGCACCGGCUAACUCCGUGCCAGCAGCCGCGGUAAUACGGAGGGUGCAAGCGUUAUCCGGAUUCACUGGGUUUAAAGGGUGCGUAGGCGGGCAGGUAAGUCAGUGGUGAAAUCCUAGAGCUUAACUCUAGAACUGCCAUUGAUACUAUCUGUCUUGAAUAUUGUGGAGGUAAGCGGAAUAUGUCAUGUAGCGGUGAAAUGCUUAGAUAUGACAUAGAACACCUAUUGCGAAGGCAGCUUACUACGCAUAUAUUGACGCUGAGGCACGAAAGCGUGGGGAUCAAACAGGAUUAGAUACCCUGGUAGUCCACGCCCUAAACGAUGAUUACUCGACAUUUGUGAUACACUAUAAGUGUUNUGAGACGAAGACAUUAAGUAAUACCACCGUACGGAAGGUACGACCCGACCGAAGGUUAGUAAACGUACGAAAGAAGUAGUAGACGACGAGAGAGCGACGGACGGACGACGACGGAGGGAGGAGG
RNAcentral lists this ribosomal RNA (634 nucleotides) under uncultured bacterium. RNAcentral's name for it is "bacterial SSU rRNA". The stretch from base 1 to 538 matches the Rfam family "Bacterial small subunit ribosomal RNA", at positions 338 to 873 of the family's 1533-position model. The record is from RNAcentral.